Molecule: transfer RNA, 84 nt
Filed under: Marinobacter sp.
Lineage: Bacteria; Pseudomonadati; Pseudomonadota; Gammaproteobacteria; Pseudomonadales; Marinobacteraceae
Also listed under: 2 other names
Description: tRNA-Leu
Rfam family: tRNA
About the family: Transfer RNA (tRNA) molecules are approximately 80 nucleotides in length. Their secondary structure includes four short double-helical elements and three loops (D, anti-codon, and T loops).
Source: RNAcentral
GGCUCCGUGGCGGAAUUGGUAGACGCGUGUGAUUCAAAAUCAUAUUCCAAUGGAGUGCCGGUUCGAUUCCGGCCGGGGCUACCA